This 228-nucleotide ribosomal RNA is filed under the name uncultured bacterium. RNAcentral's name for it is "partial 16S ribosomal RNA". It matches the Rfam family "Bacterial small subunit ribosomal RNA", at positions 524 to 748 of the family's 1533-position model. The record is from RNAcentral.
UACGGGGGGGAGCAAGCGUUUGUUCGGAUUUACUGGGCGUAAAGGGCGCGUAGGCGGUCGUGACAAGUCACUUGUGAAAUCUCCGGGCUUAACUCGGAACGGUCAAGUGAUACUGUCGGACUAGAGUACAGAAGGGGCAACUGGAAUUCUCGGUGUAGCGGUGAAAUGCGCAGAUAUCAGGAGGAACACCAAUAGCGAAGGCAGCUCGCUGGGACGGUACUGACGCUA